Molecule: ribosomal RNA, 555 nt
Filed under: Klebsiella oxytoca
Lineage: Bacteria; Pseudomonadati; Pseudomonadota; Gammaproteobacteria; Enterobacterales; Enterobacteriaceae
Description: bacterial SSU rRNA
Rfam family: Bacterial small subunit ribosomal RNA
Source: RNAcentral
GGGCAGGGCGCAGCUACACAUGCAAGUCGAACGGUAGCACAGAGAGCUUGCUCUCGGGUGACGAGUGGCGGACGGGUGAGUAAUGUCUGGGAAACUGCCUGAUGGAGGGGGAUAACUACUGGAAACCGUAUCCAAUACCCCUCCACGUCGCAAGAACAAAGAGGGGGAACUUCGGGCCUCUUGCCAUCCGAUGUGCCCAGAAGGGAAUAACUUAUUGGGGGGGGUUCGGCACGGCUACGAUAAGUAAUGGUCCGAGAAGAUGAUCAAACCCACUGGAACUGAAACCCGGUCCAGACUCCUCCCGGACGCGACACUGGGGAAUAUUGGACAAUGGGCUAAAGCCUGAUCCCUCCCUGCCCCGUGUGUGAAGAAGGUCUUCAGAUUGUUCUUUCUUUUAUUUGGGAUGAAGGGAUUAACCUAAUACUUUAGUGUUUUGACGUUACCGACACAAUAAGCACCGGCUAACUUCGUGCCCGCAGCCGCGGUAAUACAAAGGGUGCAAGCGUUAAUCGGAAUUACUGGUCGUAAAGCGCGCGUAGGUGGUUCGUUAAGUUG